This 618-nucleotide unclassified non-coding RNA is filed under the name Hevea brasiliensis (rubber tree). The record is from RNAcentral. Lineage: Eukaryota; Viridiplantae; Streptophyta; Magnoliopsida; Malpighiales; Euphorbiaceae.
GACUGCAAGUUGAAGUUUCUCCACGGACUUGAAACACAAGAAUAAAGAAGAGAACAAGGGACUCUGUUCAUUAUCAUUGGACAAGUAGUUACUUGCAUUAGCUUGCAUCUUCCAAUUUUGGAGAAAUUGUUUGCUAAAUGCUUCACUUCUUCCAAGAGAAACUCCAGAUUCUCAUUUUUUUUCUGAGACAUUAACAAAUGAUGUUAAUUCUGUAAUCUUUUUAACGUUUAGUUUGUUCAAGUGUAAGAAAUAUCAAGAAAAGUACACUCGUUCAAAACAAAACGCUAGAAAGGGAACAAUGACGAUUAGAGAAGCUAGGCAGUUGAUUAACUUACAAGUGAAUGGGAUAAAGAGAAUUAGUUGUCCCUCUGUCUCAAUUUAAAGAAGGUCAGACAAUGAUUCGUGGAAAUUGGACAAAGUAAUGAAAGAACUAAGUCCUGCGAAUGAAAUUCACUCGUUACCCUAAUCAUGGUGCAAAUACUAAUUCUCACCUUUAGGUCAGAGAACAGUGUGUUGCAAGAUGUUAUUGGGUUGCCACAUCCAGGGAAAGUGCAAAGGAUUUUUCUAAUCAAAGACUCCGUUGAAUUACUUUGCCAUUGAUAGAAAUAUUUGGGAUGU